This 253-nucleotide ribosomal RNA is filed under the name uncultured prokaryote. Its description in RNAcentral is "partial 16S ribosomal RNA". It matches the Rfam family "Bacterial small subunit ribosomal RNA", at positions 525 to 777 of the family's 1533-position model. The record is from RNAcentral.
ACAGAGGGGGCAAGCGUUGUUCGGAAUUACUGGGCGUAAAGGGCGCGUAGGCGGCCUGCUAAGUCGAACGUGAAAUCCCCGAGCUCAACUCGGGAACUGCGUCCGAUACUGGUUGGCUUGAAUCCGGGAGAGGGAUGCGGAAUUCCAGGUGUAGCGGUGAAAUGCGUAGAUAUCAAGAGGAACACCUGAGGCGAAGGCGGGUUGCUAGGCUGACACUGACGCUGAGGCGCGAAAGCUAGGGUAGCAAACGGGA